GACGAACCGUGCGAACGUUGUUCGGAAUCACUGGGCUUAAAGGGCGCGUAGGCGGGCUGUCAAGUCCGGGGUGAAAUCUUUCGGCUCAACCGGGAAAGUGCCUUGGAUACUGAUGGUCUGGAGGGAGGUAGGGGUAUGUGGAACUUCCGGUGGAGCGGUGAAAUGCGUUGAUAUCGGAAGGAACGCCGGUGGCGAAGGCGGGUCUCUGGGCCGAUACUGACGCUGAGGAGCGAAAGCGUGGGGAGCGAACAGG
This 253-nucleotide ribosomal RNA is filed under the name uncultured bacterium. Its description in RNAcentral is "partial 16S ribosomal RNA". It matches the Rfam family "Bacterial small subunit ribosomal RNA", at positions 524 to 776 of the family's 1533-position model. The record is from RNAcentral.